CAACCUGCCGAUAACUCCGGAAUAGCCUUUCGAAAGAAGGAUUAAUACCGGAUGGCAUACGAAUAUCGCAUGAUAUUUUUAUUAAAGAAUUUCGGUUAUCGAUGGGGAUGCGUUCCAUUAGUUUGUUGGCGGGGUAACGGCCCACCAAGACAACGAUGGAUAGGGGUUCUGAGAGGAAGGUCCCCCACAUUGGAACUGAGACACGGUCCAAACUCCUACGGGAGGCAGCAGUGAGGAAUAUUGGUCAAUGGGCGAGAGCCUGAACCAGCCAAGUAGCGUGAAGGAUGAAGGCUCUAUGGGUCGUAAACUUCUUUUAUAUGGGAAUAAAGUAUUCCACGUGUAGAAUUUUGUAUGUACCAUAUGAAUAAGGAUCGGCUAACUCCGUGCCAGCAGCCGCGGUAAUACGGAGGAUCCGAGCGUUAUCCGGAUUUAUUGGGUUUAAAGGGAGCGUAGGUGGAUUGUUAAGUCAGUUGUGAAAGUUCGCGGCUCAACCGUAAAAUUGCAGUUGAAACUGGCAGUCUUGAGUACAGUAGAGGUGGGCGGAAUUCGUGGUGUAGCGGUGAAAUGCUUAGAUAUCACGAAGAACUCCGAUUG
This 594-nucleotide ribosomal RNA is filed under the name uncultured Bacteroidota bacterium. Its description in RNAcentral is "bacterial SSU rRNA". It matches the Rfam family "Bacterial small subunit ribosomal RNA", at positions 122 to 715 of the family's 1533-position model. Lineage: Bacteria; Pseudomonadati; Bacteroidota. The record is from RNAcentral.